CUGGUCUACACUGACCACUGACCAAUCCAAUUGUUCAUCUAACUCUUCCUUCAGCACCUGAAAGCACCAUGAGGCCAAUGAGAAGAUAUGAUCCAGACUGUCCAUCCAUCAUCAAGAUCAUUAAGAACACCACCUUCACCUUCACCGCUCUUAAGCAAUAUGGGAUCUACAAACAGAUAAGCAAUUAGAGAAACAUAUUUUAACUUUGUAAUCAAAGUUUAUGGCAACUCUUUUCUGACUUCUACAGUAAGUUUCCUUAAUUUUUGUAGUAAAACAACUUGGAUAAAAUGUAAUCCUUGUGCAAACACCAUGAAAAAAAAUGAACCAAAAAUAAAAUAAAAUAAAAUAAAAAG
Oxyura jamaicensis (ruddy duck) is the source of this 353-nucleotide long non-coding RNA. RefSeq lists it as uncharacterized. The record is from RefSeq and is a predicted model, not a curated record. The transcript is spliced from 2 exons. NCBI's taxonomy places the organism in Eukaryota, Metazoa, Chordata, Aves, Anseriformes, Anatidae.